RNAcentral lists this ribosomal RNA (357 nucleotides) under Triticum aestivum (bread wheat). RNAcentral describes it as "partial small subunit ribosomal RNA". The record is from RNAcentral. Lineage: Eukaryota; Viridiplantae; Streptophyta; Magnoliopsida; Poales; Poaceae.
CAUGGAGGCCUUGGCUUUGCAGCAGUUGACGGUCUCAGUCUCCAUCUCUUCUCAAGGGUGGCUACCACUGACGGCACUCUAGUCUGGACGCUUUGCCGGGCCAUUGAUCUGAACAAGUUUCUUACGCCGGAUGUGGUGGUGAGCUGUAAGACGUUUUCAAUGGAGGCAAUUGGCGUCGCUGAAGGUGCUGAUGUGGUUUUCAUUUAUGCGUGUAAAUGCGCCUACAUGCUUCAUCUCAAGUCUAUGCAGUUUGAUGAGGUGUCCGUUAAAGGAACCUAUGCCAGCAUUUUUCCAUACACCAGUUUCUAUACCCCGGUACUACCAUGUCUUUUAUCCUCUAGGAAUGAUAAAGUGUAG